RNAcentral lists this ribosomal RNA (253 nucleotides) under uncultured bacterium. RNAcentral describes it as "partial 16S ribosomal RNA". It matches the Rfam family "Bacterial small subunit ribosomal RNA", at positions 524 to 776 of the family's 1533-position model. The record is from RNAcentral.
UACGGGGGGGGCAAGCGUUGUUCGGAAUUACUGGGCGUAAAGAGCUCGUAGGCGGUUUGUUGCGUCGGCUGUGAAAUCCCGAGGCUCAACCUCGGGUCUGCAGUCGAUACGAGCAAACUAGAGUGUUGCAGGGGAGACUGGAAUUCCUGGUGUAGCGGUGAAAUGCGCAGAUAUCAGGAGGAACACCGGUGGCGAAGGCGGGUCUCUGGGCAGCAACUGACGCUGAGGAGCGAAAGCGUGGGGAGCGAACAGG